GACGAACGCUGGCGGCGUGCUUAACACAUGCAAGUCGAACGGAAAGGCCCUGCUUUUGUGGGGUGCUCGAGUGGCGAACGGGUGAGUAACACGUGAGUAACCUGCCCUUGACUUUGGGAUAACUUCAGGAAACUGGGGCUAAUACCGGAUAGGAGCUCCUGCUGCAUGGUGGGGGUUGGAAAGUUUCGGCGGUUGGGGAUGGACUCGCGGCUUAUCAGCUUGUUGGUGGGGUAGUGGCUUACCAAGGCUUUGACGGGUAGCCGGCCUGAGAGGGUGACCGGCCACAUUGGGACUGAGAUACGGCCCAGACUCCUACGGGAGGCAGCAGUGGGGAAUAUUGCACAAUGGGCGGAAGCCUGAUGCAGCAACGCCGCGUGCGGGAUUACGGCCUUCGGGUUGUAAACCGCUUUCGCCUGUGACGAAGCGUGAGUGACGGUAAUGGGUAAAGAAGCACCGGCUAACUACGUGCCAGCAGCCGCGGUGAUACGUAGGGUGCGAGCGUUGUCCGGAUUUAUUGGGCGUAAAGGGCUCGUAGGUGGUUGAUCGCGUCGGAAGUGUAAUCUUGGGGCUUAACCCUGAGCGUGCUUUCGAUACGGGUUGACUUGAGGAAUUGUAGGGGAGAAUGGAAUUCCUGGUGGAGCGGUGGAAUGCGCAGAUAUCAGGAGGAACACCAGUGGCGAAGGCGGUUCUCUGGGCCUUUCCUGACGCUGAGGAGCGAAAGCGUGGGGAGCGAACAGGCUUAGAUACCCUGGUAGUCCACGCUGUAAACGGUGGGUACUAGGUGUGGGGUCCAUUCCACGGGUUCCGUGCCGUAGCUAACGCUUUAAGUACCCCGCCUGGGGAGUACGGCCGCAAGGCUAAAACUCAAAGGAAUUGACGGGGCCCCGCACAAGCGGCGGAGCAUGCGGAUUAAUUCGAUGCAACGCGUAGAACCUUACCUGGGUUUGACAUGGAUCGGGAGUGCUCAGAGAUGGGUGUGCCUCUUUUGGGGUCGGUUCACAGGUGGUGCAUGGCUGUCGUCAGCUCGUGUCGUGAGAUGUUGGGUUAAGUCCCGCAACGAGCGCAACCCUUGUUCACUGUUGCCAGCACGUUAUGGUGGGGACUCAGUGGGGACCGCCGGGGUCAACUCGGAGGAAGGUGGGGAUGACGUCAAGUCAUCAUGCCCCUUAUGUCCAGGGCUUCACGCAUGCUACAAUGGCUGGUACAGAGAGUGGCGAGCCUGUGAGGGUGAGCGAAUCUCGGAAAGCCGGUCUCAGUUCGGAUUGGGGUCUGCAACUCGACCUCAUGAAGUCGGAGUCGCUAGUAAUCGCAGAUCAGCAACGCUGCGGUGAAUACGUUCCCGGG
This 1344-nucleotide ribosomal RNA is filed under the name uncultured bacterium. RNAcentral's name for it is "16S ribosomal RNA". It matches the Rfam family "Bacterial small subunit ribosomal RNA", at positions 28 to 1378 of the family's 1533-position model. The record is from RNAcentral.